RNAcentral lists this transfer RNA (28 nucleotides) under Eucallipterus tiliae. Its description in RNAcentral is "partial tRNA-Leu". Lineage: Eukaryota; Metazoa; Arthropoda; Insecta; Hemiptera; Aphididae. The record is from RNAcentral.
UUUAUAAAGAUCAAUCUUUUUUUAGAAA